Molecule: long non-coding RNA, 1184 nt
Filed under: Rattus norvegicus (Norway rat)
Lineage: Eukaryota; Metazoa; Chordata; Mammalia; Rodentia; Muridae
Description: long non-coding RNA NONRATT029140
Source: RNAcentral
AGAAUUCAUAUGGGGCUUGAGAAGUGAAUCUAUCUUAAACACCCCCGAUCUGCCUGCUUCAUGCUUCUGGUUCCACUCUCUCACAGCUCGCCUGGGCCUUGCUCCCAUCAGCACCUAGGACUAAAGUCAAGCUAGAGCAAUGCCAAAAGUCAAACUUACCAGCUCACUACCUCUCCACAUGCCCCAGGCCGUGAGCAAAGAAGGUCCUGAGUCUCCUCUAUGUUCUAGGUAGGCUCUGAGCCCAUGACUUCAACUCUAUCAGUGUCAGGAAGAAAGGCACAGGACAAGCUGUGCUCCCCAGUCCUCUUAGACAUCAGAUAGGCAAGAAGAGGGGCAAAUUCAAGGCCACCUGCUUUUCCUGACUUAAAGACAAGGACUGUCGCAGGCUCGUGGCCUGAUAUGGUGUUCGCCUGGGUAGAGGAGCGCCCUCCGCCUACUCAGCAGGUUCUAAGCAGAGGCAAAGAAAGAACUCGUGGCCGAAGAUCAGGGUCCCAGUUCUCAUGUUUGGGGACUACUUGGCCCAACUGGGUGCCUCUCUGGUCCCCAAGUGGUGGGCUGCCUGGUGUUUGUUUCUUUGGGUUCUUGGGUGCAUGUCUGCCUUGAGAUGCUGUCUACAGCUCUUUCCGGGUUCCUGUCUCCUGUUCCUGGGGAUGACCGGAUACCCACAGAUACCGAGGAUGCCCUCAUUUGACGUGUUGUUCUCCAGUCCCUAUUGUCCUAUUGACUAACAUUGUGCAUGUUUAAUUCUCUGAUGGCUGUGGCGGCUGCCUGCCUAGGAGCUGAUAACUAACAUGAUUCUGAGCAGGUGAGUCACUCUCUCGGGGCUCUGAACGUCCCGUCUCUUACCCACUGUCCUGGACUGUAGCCCAGACCUGGGUCCAGGAGAGAAAGCCUGCCUGCACCGUUUCCAGCCUUUAUCACUCAUCCGUGUAGGGUUGCAUGCAGGAGGGUGCCCAGAGAGAGAGAGGAAAUGUGAGAGAUGGAGGGACCGCAAGCAGAUCUCUGCCAGCUGCCGAGACGAAUGACCACAGAACUGAGAAGGCUUCUAGGUCUAUGGUAUCAGCUACAGGUGUCAAGGCAAGGCUUGCCAACAUGACUACACAUGUUGGGCACUGCACAACUCCAGAGGGGAAAGUCCACAAAGAGAAUGGCGUGCCUGGCAGGCCCUGGAGUUGUGUACCUUG